UAAUGGUUAAGCCUUUUGUUGCUCAGCAGU
This 30-nucleotide non-coding RNA is filed under the name Mus musculus (house mouse). Lineage: Eukaryota; Metazoa; Chordata; Mammalia; Rodentia; Muridae. The record is from RNAcentral.